Taeniopygia guttata (zebra finch) is the source of this 2461-nucleotide non-coding RNA. The record is from RefSeq and is a predicted model, not a curated record. NCBI's taxonomy places the organism in Eukaryota, Metazoa, Chordata, Aves, Passeriformes, Estrildidae.
GGCGGUGGCGGGGCGCGGGCGGCUCCCGGAGCCUGCGGUCCCUGCGGCCGGGGCGCGGCACGGGCCGUGUUUCGCCAAACCGUGAGCGGGGAACUUCGCCAGCCGCUGACACCAGCGUUUUGUACAAACCCAUCACAAAUUUAUUAGAGAAUGGUAGGGCUGGUUCGAAUUAAGGUUGAUUUACCGAUGGUUGGCGAAGGGUAGUGGUGCACAUCAAAACCGAGUGAAAUCCGGGCCCCGCGGAAGCUGGUAGGAGAACUUGAAUGGAAACCUCUCCCACCAAUUACAAUUGUAAACCAUGACAGAAGAGCGCGCUUCUAAUAACGAAUACUGAAAGAAUAUCCUUACUGGCUUUCCUUGAUGACUGCCUCCUGAGGAAGAGGAACCCUGAAAAAAGAUACCUGUUUUUCACUCUAAGUCUAGUUGUGCUUAAAUAGUCUUGCUAUAUGUAAUUAAAGACCACAGAAGAAUGAAAGCUGUUUUGUAUCCAGUCAUCCAAAAAUCCCAGGUAGAACCUUAUCUGAAAUACAUGUAUUUAACAUUUUCUGUUAUGUGUGUUCUUUCAAAUGUUGUAUUGGACAAUUUAAUGCAAAAUUCUCAAGAAAAAAGAACUGGUUUAUAGUUGUGUUUAAUAUAUGGAAUAGAAAAAAUAAUAAGGUCCAAUUAAACCAUAAUUCUCCUGGUAUCAGUCUAUGGUUACAUUGGGAGAAAAAAAGAAAGCACCAACAAAAAAAGGCAAAUUAUAAAAGUCCUUCGCUCUAUAGCCCCUACUUAAAGAAAACUCUAAUAAUAAAGAUAGUUGAAAAUAAAAGUAGGUACAGAAAAAUUAGAUGUUCUGACAGCAUCUUAUUCAGUUUUCUGGUGAAGUGGCUCUGCUUAUUUGAAUGGCAUUGCCAACAGGAAAUGUUACAAUCAUUAAGUCUUUAAGAAAUGCCAUCAAAUACAUACAGAAAAUGUCUCACCUUUAGGAUUCAUGUAUUAGAAAAUGUAACAUUUAUGAUAAUUUUUUAAUAACAAGUACAUAUUUUCUAUAAGAUAUCUUUUCUAUAAACAUUUUAUCAACUGUCACUGAAUGGCAAGAGUGAGGUCAAAAUUACGUAGUAAAAAGUAAAAAAGUCUGAAAUGAUAGAAGAUGAAAUUAUGCGUAGUUAAAUGGCAACUAUUAUUUCCUUUGAAAAGAAAAAUUGUUUUCUUCAAAGCAAGACAGAACUACUUAAGACAAAUGCAUACAAAAUCAAUGAAAAGCUGAGCUCUGAGCAGAAAGUGUAUUAUUAUUAUAAAUUUAAAGAUAAAUAGCUGUUCAGAAGUUCCUUAUACACACACACAAAUCCAAUGACCUCAUUCUGUGAUUACUAGAAGUUCAGCUACACAGUAAUGUGCUGUCUCAAAACUGUGUGAAAAUAAAUACUGUGUUUGCCUUUGUUGAAAGUAUCCCAGGUAAGUAAAUAAUGUGCCACUCUUUGCAUAUUAAAGUAAAACUCCAACUGUCUAGUCCAUAACUAACUUGUUAAUAGGGUUUUUUAGCAGGUGUAUAAGAAAAGAGAAAGGUAAAUGUGAAUGUUUUGUACUUACUGGUUUACCCUGUUUGCCUCCAGAAGGAUAUGAGCCCUGUAAGAAGUCAAUCAGACUUGUAUUAAUUGAAUGUAAAAUCUUCUAUCACUAUCUUCAGACAAUUUUUGCAGUACUUAGGACAAGCUUAUUUGGGUGUUCUUUGAACAAAAAAAAAAAAAAGCUUAAAAUUUACACUCUGUACUACACACCACAACAAUGGCAAUUUGAAUCAAGAAAGCAGUGUUAAGAAAAACAGCCUGGCAACUAGAGUAUGUUCAAAGGAAUAUUUUACACAGAGCAGUAACUCAUUGUAACCAAAUCUUUUAUUCUCCUUACUGAAGCGACUUUGAUCCAUAUUACCUGCACUGUUUAAACUUCAUAAAAUGGCCAAAUUAAUGUAUCUGUCAGCAUCAAGUAACUGACCUGAUCUACAAAGUAUGUUAGGAGUGAGUUUGAAGUGAUGGGAUGGAAAGAGAACACUCACCUGCCCACCAUAUUGGCUGCCUCUUGAGGGAUAAGAUCCCUAUUAAAAAAAAAAAAAAAUCAGGGAAAAUUAACAGCAGAUACUUUUUGUUUUUCUGUGCAUAAUGAAACAUCACAGGACUUUUGACAGGAGAUCUCAGUCAUAAUCUGGAAAGUAUAUUAAUCUAAAAAGAUGCAGUGAAAGGCUUCUGAUCUAAUACCUCUAAGUUCUUCAACAGCUGAAAGUAGUAGAUUGGGCAGUCACAAAACACCUUCUGAGACUGUUCUGUUCCAUAAAUAAAUGGAUUAAAAGUGUCUUACAUAUGUCUCUAUUCAAGAGGAAAGAACCAAUUUACUUUAUUUGUGAUUUUCUACAUCAGACAUGUUUAGAGAGCACCAUGUGUAUUAUUGUAAAAACAUUGUUAAUACUACCAAAUAGGUAGUUUGG